This 496-nucleotide ribosomal RNA is filed under the name uncultured bacterium. Its description in RNAcentral is "partial 16S ribosomal RNA". It matches the Rfam family "Bacterial small subunit ribosomal RNA", at positions 28 to 506 of the family's 1533-position model. The record is from RNAcentral.
GACGAACGCUGGCGGCGUGCCUAAUACAUGCAAGUAGAACGCUGAAGAGAGGAGCUUGCUCUUCUUGGAUGAGUUGCGAACGGGUGAGUAACGCGUAGGUAACCUGCCUUGUAGCGGGGGAUAACUAUUGGAAACGAUAGCUAAUACCGCAUAACAAUGGAUGACACAUGUCAUUUAUUUGAAAGGGGCAAUUGCUCCACUACAAGAUGGACCUGCGUUGUAUUAGCUAGUAGGUGAGGUAACGGCUCACCUAGGCGACGAUACAUAGCCGACCUGAGAGGGUGAUCGGCCACACUGGGACUGAGACACGGCCCAGACUCCUACGGGAGGCAGCAGUAGGGAAUCUUCGGCAAUGGGGGCAACCCUGACCGAGCAACGCCGCGUGAGUGAAGAAGGUUUUCGGAUCGUAAAGCUCUGUUGUAAGUCAGGAACGAGUGUGAGAGUGGAAAGUUCACACUGUGACGGUAGCUUACCAGAAAGGGACGGCUAACUACGU